GAAUAUGGGGGGACCAUCCUCCAAGGCUAAAUACUCCUGACUGACCGAUAGUGAACCAGUACCGUGAGGGAAAGGCGAAAAGAACCCCGGCGAGGGGAGUGAAAAAGAACCUGAAACCGUGUACGUACAAGCAGUGGGAGCACGCUUAGGCGUGUGACUGCGUACCUUUUGUAUAAUGGGUCAGCGACUUAUAUUCUGUAGCAAGGUUAACCGAAUAGGGGAGCCGAAGGGAAACCGAGUCUUAACUGGGCGUUAAGUUGCAGGGUAUAGACCCGAAACCCGGUGAUCUAGCCAUGGGCAGGUUGAAGGUUGGGUAACACUAACUGGAGGACCGAACCGACUAAUGUUGAAAAAUUAGCGGAUGACUUGUGGCUGGGGGUGAAAGGCCAAUCAAACCGGGAGAUAGCUGGUUCUCCCCGAAAGCUAUUUAGGUAGCGCCUCGUGAAUUCAUCUCCGGGGGUAGAGCACUGUUUCGGCAAGGGGGUCAUCCCGA
Molecule: ribosomal RNA, 493 nt
Filed under: Escherichia coli
Lineage: Bacteria; Pseudomonadati; Pseudomonadota; Gammaproteobacteria; Enterobacterales; Enterobacteriaceae
Description: partial 23S ribosomal RNA
Rfam family: Bacterial large subunit ribosomal RNA
Source: RNAcentral